This 466-nucleotide ribosomal RNA is filed under the name uncultured bacterium. RNAcentral's name for it is "partial 16S ribosomal RNA". It matches the Rfam family "Bacterial small subunit ribosomal RNA", at positions 28 to 506 of the family's 1533-position model. The record is from RNAcentral.
GACGAACGCUGGCGGCGUGCUUAACACAUGCAAGUCGAACGGAAAGGCCUCUUUCGGGGGGUACUCGAGUGGCGAACGGGUGAGUAACACGUGAGUAACCUGCCCUUGACUUUGGGAUAACUUCAGGAAACUGGGGCUAAUACCGGAUAGGAGCUCCUGCUGCCUGGUGGGGGUUGGAAAGUUUCGGCGGUUGGGGAUGGACUCGCGGCUUAUCAGCUUGUUGGUGGGGUAGUGGCUUACCAAGGCUUUGACGGGUAGCCGGCCUGAGAGGGUGACCGGCCACAUUGGGACUGAGGUACGGCCCAGACUCCUACGGGUGGCAGCAGUGGGGAAUAUUGCACAAUGGGUGGAAGCCUGAUGCAGCAACGCCGUGUGCGGGAUGACGGCCUUCGGGUUGUAAACCGCUUUCGCUCAUGACGAAGCUUUGUGUGACGGUAGUGGGUAAAGAAGCACCGGCUAACUACGU